Molecule: non-coding RNA, 135 nt
Organism: Triticum urartu
Lineage: Eukaryota; Viridiplantae; Streptophyta; Magnoliopsida; Poales; Poaceae
Source: Rfam
CAAGUACCCUCUCCGUCCCUAAAUUCUUGUCUUAAAUUUGUCUAGAUAUGGAUGUAUCUAACACUAAAACGUAACUAGAUAUAUCCGUAUUUAGACAAAUCUAAGACAAGAAUUUUGGGACGGAGGGAGUACAAG